RNAcentral lists this ribosomal RNA (267 nucleotides) under uncultured Pseudomonas sp. RNAcentral describes it as "partial 16S ribosomal RNA". It matches the Rfam family "Bacterial small subunit ribosomal RNA", at positions 1113 to 1382 of the family's 1533-position model. The record is from RNAcentral. Lineage: Bacteria; Pseudomonadati; Pseudomonadota; Gammaproteobacteria; Pseudomonadales; Pseudomonadaceae.
AGUUACCAGCACGUUAUGUGGGCACUCUAAGGAGACUGCCGGUGCAACCGGAGGAAGGUGGGGAUGACGUCAAGUCAUCAUGGCCCUUACGGCCUGGGCUACACACGUGCUACAAUGGUCGGUACAAAGGGUUGCCAAGCCGCGAGGUGGAGCUAAUCCCAUAAAACCGAUCGUAGUCCGGAUCGCAGUCUGCAACUCGACUGCGUGAAGUCGGAAUCGCUAGUAAUCGUGAAUCAGAAUGUCACGGUGAAUACGUUCCCGGGCCUU